GGGAGGCGGAAUCCUGGGCUGUGUCGGGCGCCCUGUGCUCUGGAGCCUGCGCUGUUGGAUUCGCGCUCCCGCCCCGCAGCCCCCU
This is a non-coding RNA of Canis lupus familiaris (dog), 85 nucleotides long. Lineage: Eukaryota; Metazoa; Chordata; Mammalia; Carnivora; Canidae. The record is from Rfam.